GGAGCCAUGGCGCAAUGGUAGCGUAUCUCACUCCAGAUCAAAAGGUUGCGUGCUCGAUUCACGUCGGGUUCA
Molecule: transfer RNA, 72 nt
Organism: Cephalotus follicularis
Lineage: Eukaryota; Viridiplantae; Streptophyta; Magnoliopsida; Oxalidales; Cephalotaceae
Rfam family: tRNA
About the family: Transfer RNA (tRNA) molecules are approximately 80 nucleotides in length. Their secondary structure includes four short double-helical elements and three loops (D, anti-codon, and T loops).
Source: Rfam